UACAUGGGGUGCAAACGUUGCUCGGAAUUAUUGGGCGUAAAGCGCACGUAGGCGGUUCGUUAAGUCGGAUGUGAAAGCCCUCGGCUCAACUGAGGAAGUGCACCCGAAACUGGCGAGCUUGAGUACGAAAGAGGAUCGCGGAAUUCCCGGUGUAGAGGUGAAAUUCGUAGAUAUCGGGAGGAACACCGGUGGUGUAGACGGCUCUCGUGGACCGUAACUGAACGCUGAGACA
Molecule: ribosomal RNA, 232 nt
Filed under: uncultured bacterium
Lineage: Bacteria
Description: partial 16S ribosomal RNA
Rfam family: Bacterial small subunit ribosomal RNA
Source: RNAcentral